AAGUGGUCAGGAGGAUUAUUGGGCCUAAAGCAUCCGUAGCCUGCUCUUCAAGUUUUCGGUUAAAUCUAUACGCUUAACGUAUAGGCUGCCAAAAAUACUGUAGAGCUAGGGAGUGGGAGAGGUAGACGGUACUCGGUAGGAAGGGGUAAAAUCUUUUGAUCUAUUGAUGACCACCUGUGGCGAAGGCGGUCUACCAGAACAUGUUCGACGGUGAGGGAUGAAAGCUGGGGGAGCAAACCGGAUUAGAUACCCGGGUAGUCCCAGCUGUAAACGAUGCAGACUCGAUGAUGCAUUGGCAUAUAGCCAGUGCAGUGUCGCAGGGAAGCCGUUAAGUCUGCCGCCUGGGAAGUACGUACGCAAGUAUGAAACUUAAAGGAAUUGGCGGGGGAGCACCACAAGGGGUGAAGCCUGCGGUUCAAUUGGAGUCAACGCCAGAAAUCUUACCCGGAGAGACAGCAGAAUGAAGGUCAGGCUGAAGACCUUACCAGACAAGCUGAGAGGUGGUGCAUGGCCGUCGCCAGCUCGUGCCGUGAGAUGUCCUGUUAAGUCAGGUAACGAGCGAGAUCCCUGCCAUUAGUUGCCAUCACUACUCUCAGGAGUAGUGGGGCGAAUUAAUGGGACCGCCGUAGUUAAUACGGAGGAAGGAAGGGGCCACGGCAGGUCAGUAUGCCCCGAAACUCU
Molecule: ribosomal RNA, 681 nt
Filed under: marine metagenome
Description: bacterial SSU rRNA
Rfam family: Archaeal small subunit ribosomal RNA
Source: RNAcentral